Molecule: long non-coding RNA, 909 nt
Filed under: Oryza sativa tropical japonica subgroup
Lineage: Eukaryota; Viridiplantae; Streptophyta; Magnoliopsida; Poales; Poaceae
Also listed under: 1 other name
Description: lncRNA OsCMeo_10g0020940
Source: RNAcentral
GAUGUCCAAGACAUAACGAGUGACAGCAAGAAGAGCAAACAAUCAGAGUCAUGCAUCCAUACUGAUAAGAAUGUCCAAGACAUACCAAGUGACAGCGACAUAAAAACAUCAGAAAAACGCGUCGACAGCACAACACAUGCCACUUCACACAAGGAUAGGCCAGAAACUGAGUCACUGACCCGAAAACUAAUCAUGCUGAUAGAAGAGCAAGGAAAGGAGAUGAAGGAGAUGAAGCAGAAUCAACAGUCCAUGCAUAACCAAAUUCAAUCACUCACCAACAUAAUAGCUGCAUUCAAAGAGGAAAAGACAAUACCAACUUCCAAGAACUCUAAGCCAAAUAAACCAAACCCACCAACUCAAACGCCCGUCAUUGCCAAAUUGCGUAAAUCAACAAUUAAAUCAAAUUCUGAUUUCAUCUACAAUUUAGGGGCUACAAAGAAGAAACCAAAGAAUGCGCAAGCAAAGAAUUUAAUAUCCAAUGAUUUAACUUCAAUGGCAGAGUUCAAGUGCACCGCAGAAGAUGAGGAAACCAUUAAAAGUAUAAUGAGUGCACCAGAAUCACAACUAGUGGUGCAUAUCGAUGAUGUCUCAAUUUCCCAAAAAACAAUGCAAAUUCUGACUAAUCCAGUGACUGAAUCAAGUACGAGCUAUUUGGAUGAUCACAAAGAUAUGAAGGAAGGUACAGGGACUAGGGCAGAAGGUACGGUGUUCCUAGAGAAACCGUUAAUAACAAGGUUGCUACAAAGAGAUGGCGAACACUAUGUUUCCAAAGACAUCAUCGAUCGGGCAAUGGCUAAAGCAACGGCAAAUAGAUAUCUAAAGCAUGAUAUGGAAGAUAUAAAAUAUUUUAGAAGGAAGUUAGCUGCAAUUUUGGGGGGUGCUCAGAAGAAGGAUAAAAAGAUAAACUAA